CAACAUAGCCUGGAAACUAUUACUCUUCGCCUUGCAUUGAAGGUAUUACUUUCCCCUCAAGCUUGUCAAUGUGAUCAGUCUUAUCCAAGCAAAUAUUUUUAUGAAAAUAUUUAGCAUCAAAGAAUUCUUGAAGAUUGAAUAUCCACAUAAUAUACAUUUAAUUCAUGGAAACCAUGAGGCAACAGACAUUAAUGCUUUAUUUGGGUUUCGUACCGAGUGCAUCGAGAGAAUGGGAGAACAAGACGGAAUCUGGGCAUGACACCGUAUUAACAGAUUGUUUAAUUGGUU
Zingiber officinale is the source of this 288-nucleotide long non-coding RNA. RefSeq lists it as uncharacterized. The record is from RefSeq and is a predicted model, not a curated record. The transcript is spliced from 3 exons. NCBI's taxonomy places the organism in Eukaryota, Viridiplantae, Streptophyta, Magnoliopsida, Zingiberales, Zingiberaceae.